Molecule: long non-coding RNA, 686 nt
Organism: Oreochromis niloticus (Nile tilapia)
Lineage: Eukaryota; Metazoa; Chordata; Actinopteri; Cichliformes; Cichlidae
Exons: 3
Source: RefSeq, a predicted model, not a curated record
CUUUUCUUCUGACGAUGCUGUCUGUGUUGAGAGCUCAGUGGAUCUGCGUUCGACUACUCCGCCUAGGCUGCACUGUCGAGCGCAGAUCCACUGAGCGCAAGCUCAUUGCAACAUGGCAAUUUGAACCUCCCCCGCCCGCAUUCAGAUCUGGCCUUUGGAACUAUUUUGGUCUUCAUGUGAAGUAUGACCCUGAAGAAGUCCUCUGACCGGCUGAUAGUCUGGCUCUUCCUCAGGGCUAAACACAGGAACCUCCAGUAUGAAGUUCACCACAGCUGCCCUCUCAGACUGAAUGUUCCCCAGCAGAACCACCCUGAUCUCAGACACUGCAAAGAAAACCGUAAAGAAAGCAAUGAAGACAACCGAGUGUAGAAGAUUCAGAUCAUCGCUGCUAUUCAGCAGCUGCAGAUCAUCUGUGAAAACCCAAAGAUCAUCUCAGAGCGUCAUCAUCAACAUGUUUGUCCUGGAAGUGCUCACAUUCACCGGUUAAACAGACACAAACAUACUAUACUGUAAAUAAAACUUACUUUGAUUUGACCUGAAACUAAAGUGAUUUUUUCACUAUGCAAAACUUUAGAGCUGAGUUCAUGUGAGUACAGUGUUUGGAUUUCUGUUUGUAGUUCAGCAGAUUCAGUGUGCAGCUAUAAAUAAACUGCAACAAUGAAAGAAAAAGAAAAACUUUCAGUUUU